This 377-nucleotide ribosomal RNA is filed under the name uncultured organism. Its description in RNAcentral is "partial 16S ribosomal RNA". It matches the Rfam family "Bacterial small subunit ribosomal RNA", at positions 527 to 897 of the family's 1533-position model. The record is from RNAcentral.
GAACCGGACGAACGUUAUUCGGGAAUCACUGGGCUUAAAGAGUACGUAGGCGGCCUGGUAAGUUGGGAUGUGAAAGCCCUCGGGCCCAACCGAGGGAAUUGCGUUCAAAACUACCAGACUUGAGGGAGACAGAGGUGAGCGGAACUGAUGGUGGAGCGGUGAAAUGCGUUGAUAUCAUUAGGAACACCGGCGGCGAAGGCGGCUCACUGGGUCUCUUCUGACGCUGAGGUACGAAAGCUAGGGGAGCGAACGGGAUUAGAUACCCCGGUAGUCCUAGCUGUAAGCGAUGAGCACUAGGUUGAGGGAACCUCCACAUUCUCUCGACCGUAGCGAAAGUGUUAAGUGCUCCGCCUGGGGAGUAUGGUCGCAAAGGCUGA